AAAAAAAAACCCUUCCAUUGUAGGUUUACUUUGUUUUUAGAUUUAGAUCAUGGUAAACAUAUAAACAAGUAUGUUUUUGCUAACAUAAUGUAAUGUGACAUAUGUCAUGUGACAUACUCUGUAGUUAAAACGACUCAAGCAGCAGUCUCCUGAGUGAAAGUCCUCUGUUUGUUUGGCCCAUCCACCCCCACUUCUUACCUUCUACGAUACGUUGACUUUCUCGCUUUCACAUCAGUUGCUUUGAGCGUCUAAUAAUGACACAGGUUGGUGUCUCAAAUAAACGCUAAAGGGUGCAUCAGCGUAUCGGUAGAUGGUGCCACAACCCAGUCUCACUCCAAAGUCAACAAAAUCCGUCACUUGGGCAGUGACUUACAGCGUCAGACACAGACGAAAAAAGCUAUCCUUUAACAUCGGCAUGAUAUGCAGGUGGUCGCUGUUGUAGUUUAACAGCGCUCGGUGGCGUCGGGGGAAACGUGUCGGGACAAGAACGAAAAUACAACAGCAAAAGUGAAAGUGGGGUGGGUGGGUCCAACAAACACCCACUUUCACCUGGAGAGCAGUGUUCGCAUCCUGUGAGAUUAUAAAGCUUAACCCUGAUCAUUUUUCCUAAACCUACCUAUGUGCAUUUGUUGUGCUGUUGUACCGACGUAGUGUGUUUAUUUUGAAAGAUGACAAUGCAUGUAAAAGGCAGACCAUGACACGGUGUCCCAGAACGUCAACGCCCACCCUUGGUACUUUGCACGUUGUAUCUGGACGUGGAAAGUCCAUGACCAAACAUCAAUUUGUGACAAGGUCAGAGUGAGAAUGUGUUGGAUGCCAAGGGCCACUGCCCAAGUGAAGGUAUUUGAUGAGUUGUGAGUGAGAACGACCUGUAUUAGAUUGUCACUCUUCAUAAAGGAAUCCUCACAUGUCCAAAACAGCAGUGGGUUUAUAAACUCCCUUGAAUUAAAGUCUGAGAUUCUGUUUACACUUGAUUUUAAAUGAUCCCAACACCAGUGGACAGCUGAGACACAUUGCUGGUCACACCUGUGUUUACUGUAUCCUGUGUCUCCAACUGCCCGCUUGCGUUCAGAUUUUGUUAUUGCCUAUGUCACCUUUGCUAGAAGGUCAAAGGCCCCCGUCCACAAUUAUUACAUCCACACUCUCACCAGUCAUGUAAGUGAUUGUGUCAGUACAGCUGGAGAUUUCACUGUCAUCAGUAUCCAGAAUCCAAUGCGGCAAAGUGAUGGACGGUCAAGCAACUUCAUCCAUCUUGUCAUGAUACGGGGAUGUUGUAGAGUGCUGGGUGCUGUCACCAAAAUAACCACCACGUCCUGCAUUGAUGACAUAUUUUCCUGCUCCUAUAGGAUGCAUCUGGACACAUUAGCAUUAAACAAGGAAAAAUAUGUGGUCAAAUGUGUCCAGGUCAACCUCAGCAAGGGGUGUGAGUGAUUGGAUCACAAUGCAUCUUGGUGGUCGCCAAAGACACAUUUUAAAACCAAGUGUAAACAGAAUUAUAGUUAUAUGUAAUUAUUUUAAAUUCAAUUCCUCUACCAAGCAUGGUCUACGUGAAAGAAUGAUGGCAUGAUAUAGUAUUUAUCUUCCUGUGGCUCACUGGUUGGCUGCCUGUUUAUUCAUGCGUUAAACCAAGCAUUUCCAAUGAAUUUGCCAAUGGGGUUUAUGCUUUCCUUUUAACCGCUGACCUGGGGAGCGACACAUCAACAGCUCCAUCCUCAUGUGAUCCCAAGGUGGACAGUUCCAGCAAGGUGCAUCAUACUGCCACCUCUUGAUCAGUGGAAUAGUGCACAACCGUUGAUAGCAGCAGAAAGUUUCAGGUCCUCUGAAAGUCUACAGGACUUAUUUCCACCCUGCCCAGCAGCGGUACCGUGGCGAACGGUCCCUAACUGCGGGGAGAACGAGCCAGGCUUCCCCGGAGGUCCGCCGCUUAAUCCGGUCCGUCUCCUCCACACUUUGACUUAUUUCCACGCUGCCGACAGUGGGACUUAUAUUCAUUGUGCCGACAGUGGCUUGGAAAACCGCCUAUAACCAUGUCACACGGGGAAGAGGGAAGAGGGAAGGCGACUGGAGUUCCUCCAACAUAUGGUUAGAUUAUCAUUUUUUUUAUUGACAAAAAUAUAGGCUGCUUCGGAUGAUUUUUUUUAUGCGCACAUGUGCUCCUAAAUAUUUUUUACACUUCGCACACACCUAUUUUUAGUCGCAAAUGUGAGUGAAACGCUCGCACUGUCGAGCCCUGGUAUAUUACAGAUUCCACACCAUACUGUACAUCUGCAAACUAGAUUUGCUAUAAUCUCUGCUGUGAGCGUGUUUGAUUGUUGACAGAGGACACAAGGAAACUUACUCAUCUUUCCAUGGCUUUAUUAAGUAUCAGUAUAAUGAGGCAGCCCAUAGAUAAAGUCUUUCCCUGAUAAAUCUAUUUGCUAAAUGUGAAAUUCAUUUAUCAGAGAGAUGCCUCAAUGUGAAUUACUGUAGAUAACACUAAUAUUGUAAAUAAGAUAAGGGGUAAUAUGAUUCAGUGUACAUUUACUACAUGAUAUCGGUCUCUGUUUGAUGAGGUGCUACGUCCUUGAAAAAGAAAAAAACACACAAUAUCAUAAAUAUUAAACUAUUGUACCUGCAAUGUUACCCAGCGGCCAAUUAACCCAGCAUAUACACUUGCAUGGUUGUAUACUUUGAAAAGAAGAAUGGCUCAGAGACAGAUGGUUUCUAUGUUGUGCUAAAUAUAAAUUUAAUUUGUGGCUAAUUGUACAUGUUGGGGAAAUAAAUGAUUUUUCAUUUGAUCGCACAGUUCUGAGAGAUGUACGCCUCCACACACAUCACAGCAUCUUUCCUAUACAGUAAAAGUAGCUUCAAAGAAAUAUUGCAUUGUUGUUCAGUGCACUGCCAUGAAUUAUUCUUCAUUUUGUACAGUAUACAAUACGCCAUUACCGUUAGAUGUUUUUUAAUAUCACAGUUUUGAUGUCUCCACAUAUAGAUGAAACAUAGUCUGUAAUUCUCCCCUUAUAUUAAUAUUCUUAUUACCUGCUAACAGCUUUACCCAUUAGGAACAAUUAGUAGAAUAUGAGUGACCAGUUGUAACAAAUGCAUUUUUAGGUGGGAUUAUGGCCAACUUUGGAGUCAUCACAGAAUGGAUAGAGAGUUAAAAUUCAAUCUAUCAAACAUUUAUUAUUUUCCUUCAUUGUCUUCUUAGAUCAUUGGCUGCUGCUUUAUACUUGUCCACAUUUCCGGAUGGUUUUGGUAUUCCAUGGCUUCUGGUUCGGGAAUGAUUUAACUGUGCACUUAUCCCAAACGCAACAAGAUAGUCACAUGGUCACUCCCCUUGAACAUAGACAACGCCACUCUGUAGCCGCUUUCAAAUGGCAUAUAGCACUGACCCACAGAAGGAACAGGACAGCACCUCACAUUCCCACCAUCACACCAGUCCUUGUUCAUCAUAAAGGACUUGCCUCCUCUCCAUCUCUCACUGUCCUCUGCUCUGCCAGAAUGGUGUACAGAAAAAGAGUCACCUAAUUGAAUGGCGCUGUCCAGGAUUUAUCCAAGUUCUGGUCCAGGUCUUGGUGUUAGUCGGCAGAUUUUAGAAUUAGUGUACAAAACUAUGGUUGAGAGUGUUUUAACUUUUUGCCAUCCACCAUUGGUAUGGUCAUCUUAAAUAUGUCCAAGAAUAAACUUAAUAAGGAUCGUGACUACAGCUAGUAAAACAGUUGGCCAGCCACAAAAGCCAGUGACCCAGCUCUUUACAGAAAGGACGAGGAAGAAGCUAAGAGCAUCUUGGCAGAUAGCCCCCAGUCUCUCUCUAGCCAGUUUGAGCUCUUGAGCUCUAGGAGGAACUAUAAAGUCCCUCUGGCAACUAAAAAUGUUUUUAAGCAGUCCUUCAUCCCAAGUUUUAAACCACAGGCAGACAAUGAGCUGAUUUAAUGUCUUUAAGUGUUUUGUAAUGACUUUAUAUGUUUGUCUCCCUGACUGUUUGUCUGCUUUGUACAAUGCUGUCUUUUGUGUUUGCUGAACUGAAGACAAAUUCCCACCCAUGUUGGACAAUAAAGAUCUAUAAAUACUAUUCUAUUCUAAUCGUGGCUAUUACAUUUCCUCAUGUCACAUUAGAAAGUGACACAGCACACAGAUCGUCCAGUUUAUUUUCCGGUGCUUGUACAAUGGCCAGCAGGAUGCCAGUUCAUUAGAUUAUCCAUGUUUGUUGAAUAUUCAUUAUUUAGGGAAAAAAAAGCAUACUGUUUUAUAUUUGCAUUGAACAUCUGCUACAAACAACAGACUGUAUGUUGUUUAUGUAGAACAGAUGGCAAAAUUAAAUUUAAUGCUCAAAAAUGGCACAUUGGUCCUAAUUGGCAAAAUGUGACACAAAAUCAUUGUUUAAUAUUAGAAUUACUUUUCAGCUCCACAAAUUAAAGAGGGGUGCAGGACUGAAUCCUAAAACCAAGACAUGAGUUUGCAUUUUUGUACUUUGGUACUUCACUUAUGUCAAAAUCAACAGGUUUUGGGCUUUUGGUUAGAUGCCUGAAAGAAGGUCUGAGGUUAACACAAGCUGCAGAGACUUUCACUUUUUUUUUCUUCAACAUAAAAUACAACCACACUUGUGAAUUUUAAAACUCUUGCAUGGGCAGUUCUAAUAGCAAGUAGUUGAAUGACGUCAGAACGUCAUUAUGCCAACACUGCCUUAAGAACCUUGUUUUGGUGGCGACAUCAAUGUCAUACAACAAUAAAGAAGUGCGUUUACAUCCUAACACUAGCUUUUUACUUCUGGCGAUUGCAUUUAUGAUUAAAAAAAUUAUGAAAGUGGUGUUCAUAUGUGAUUUGUGAUAGAUUUUUAUGGAAAAAUUCCACUGGCUUUUUGAUGAAAAAAAACAGGGAGAUGUGGGUAAAAUAAAUAAACAAAUACAUAAAUGAACAUCAUUUCUGUUGCACUCUAUAACUAUCUACAAUCCAUUUUCAGUGGUAAAUGUUUGUUUUUAGUGUCAGUAUCUCAGAAUCGAAGAGGAAAAAAAAAUCUCCAGUCCAGGAAGAGAUCCACUUUUUUUCUUUUACCUUAGUUGGCCUUUAUACAAGCAUGCAAGAAUACUUCCAUCCACAACCCUCUCAGCUCUACCUGCCUUAAUCACUCUGCUUGGUCAGUCCUAAAAAUGAGAAAUAAAAACCUACAGCUCAUGUGUAAUUGCACGACACAGCUGAGCUAUAAAGACUUCAUGAAGCACUUCAGCUUGGGUCGCACACCAAAGAUCCCGGUCCUAAUCCUGAGUCAGUUUAGAGCCGAGGUGUUCACAGUGCAUCACAAAUAAUUUCUUUGUUUGUACUUUGAACGAGCGGGCACAGAACACCGCAGCAUUGAUCCCUCCUUGUAUUACCUAUUUUUCUCAACUGGAAAAAGCUAUUGCCUUCGUGAUUACUCUCUGAACCUGUUCAGUACAGAGAGGCCCCUUCUGCGAGGCCAUUGAAAGUCACUGUGGGAAACGUAGGAAAUCACUGACUGGAGCAAAAGUAGACCAAACAGUCUGAGGGGAAAAUAGGUUCACAAAAAGGGAAAAAAAAAAAUACAGCACUUGUCAUAAUAACUACCAGCAACACAGUGGACACCACCAACUGAUGAUUGAACUGAACUGUGGUAAGAUUAUAUUUCUUCUAAAGGAGAAAUGCAAUUAAGUCGUUGACCUUGAUGGAAAAUAGCUGCUUGAGUUCGCACAACUAUAAACUCUCAAAACUGGGACACAGCGUUACAGAAGGAGGCUAAAAUCAAAUCAGCUGGUUAGUACAAGUGUAUCUGUCUUAAAGCAAUGCACCUUAUUAAUCCAGAUUUUAACAUUUAUCUGUUUAUAUGUUAAUCUGGAUCCCCUAUUAGAUGCUACCAGGAUAUAGGAAAUAUUCAUCCUGGGGUCCACACAUAAAAACAACACCAACAUGCAACAUACAUGACCAUUCAAUAACGUAAAAUAUAUAUGUCACACAGAAUACCCACAUUUCCCUUACCCCCACAACCCCCAGCCUCAGGGGAAAAUCGCACCAACCUCAGUAAUAAUAACUUGUACAAUAAACAGAGAAAACAGCGAUCAUAGCAACAAACAAAGAGAAAAAAAAGGAAUAGAAUGAAACAAAACUGUUUCCACCAGGAAGGACGGCACUCAGCGGAGCAAAGAAAAACAAUCAGAAAAGAAUAAACAGACAAAAAAAGAUCCGUAGAAAGACUCACAGUGAGAUAACAACAGAACCAAGAGACGACAGUUGACAAGUUACUCAUUUCAUAAAUUAUCUUAACCGUCUUAUUGAUUGAAAGAUUUAUUCUUUUAACCACCAAAUAAGUGUGAAAAAAAAGAAAAAAGAAAAGGACUUGGUAGAACUAUUAGCCUUGAAGUCAUGACUGGAGGAUGAAAAGAGAUGAAACCUAAUACCUUCAAUUAACUAUAACAAGCACACACGAACAGCAUUGAGCUUCCAAAUGUAUUCCCUUCUCUAAUUUAUUUCCUCAUUUAAUCCUUAUUCGUCUUUACUGGAUGAACAUUAGUUGGGGAAUCAGUUUUGACAUGCUAUCGUGGUUUAAAGCCCACAUUUGUAGGAUUUGAAAACUUCUGACUUUGGGGACUCCGACUGGUAUAGUACCAAAACAACACUGCUUAUGAAAGAAAUGAAUGAUGCAUAUACAUUUCAUUUAUCGGGAUUGUCUUGUUUUUUCAAAAAUGAAUACUAAAUAAAUGUUUCCAUGGGGGAACAAGGCUGAUGAGAUCAGUGAGAGUGAAACAAAACAUGAUGCAAGAAAACCAAAACAACAAAUUAAAGACAGCUACAAUGCUGCUGCUUUCAAAUGUAUACACUUAAGGCCUUUGACAGAAUACUACACUCUCCAAAUGACAAUACUACUACAUGUUUUGUUUUCCUCUGCGAACGAAGAAUCCAAAAGCUGUGACCAUUUUGAUAAAUGUAAGUCACUGGGGUCUGUUUUUAAUUACAGCAAAAACUAUAUCAAAACUUAAGUUUACAAACUCUCACACAGCUUGUGCAGUUUAAUCCAGGUCUCAUUCAUCCAGUCAUAUGCCCAGUGCUUCCCAAAAACUUAUCUACACUCUCCUCAAAGCCAGACUCCACUGACAAAACCAGUAAUAUUACCUCGCUGAACAUGGGAGCUGCUAGUCUAUCACUGCCAUGGUCUGUUAGAUUGUUUAUUACUGUGUGACUGUGGUGAACCUAAACCAAAGUACCACAAUAACACAAGCAAACUAACCAACACAUUCUCACUCCGACCUUGUCAUAUAUCAUCGUUUGGCCAUGGACUUUCCAAGUCCAGGUAGGACGUGAAAGGUACCCUGGGUGCGUUGGUUGUUGGUGACAUGUGGUCUCAUGUCUGUUAUAUGCAUUGUCUUCUUUCAAAAUACAUAUUCGUUUUCACAGGAAAUUUACCAUUUACAUACAGUCUCUUUCAAAAUAAAUGCUCUUCAUCUUUAAAACACCCCAAACUGAUUUUUUUUUUUGCCUUCAACAACUAACCCAUCACGACCCCUCCCACCUGCCCUAGUCGGAUAUAAGUCGUCUUAACUUUCAUUCUUUGCCCCUGACGCCACCGAGCACCAUUAAACUACAGUGGCAACAGGUCAUGUAUCAUGUCAACAUUUAAGGAUGGCUUUUUUGUCGUGUCUGAUACUGCAAGUCAUUGCCCAAGUGCCAGAUUUCGAUGACUUUGUAAUGAGACCAGAUUGAAGCGGCAGCGGUAGAUUAGUUGCUCCAUAGUUCAGCUAGACAAAUUACUAUUUUGUCAACAGAGCCUGGCUUUGAUACUAUAAAACCUCUAUUAAAUGCCAAGUCACUUUUACUAGCCCAGUAUGGCUACACAUUUUGACAAAUAAAGGCCUGUCUCAAUGAGACGCCUGGUCUGGUUGCCAAGCAGUUCUUUGGAUGUAUAAAACCAGGUAGUUGGCCAUCUCAAAUUAUGUGUCCAUUCCACAAUUACCCUGUAAGUUAUUCAUAUUCCUUUAGUCUGUAAGAUCCUCAGAUCAAAGGGAAUAAAAGGGUUUUUCAUAAAAAUGAAUCCAAGUCGUGAAUAUUGUUUUAACAGGAUAAGGUAGUGUUGUGUCAGUGUGUCAGUGUGCCUGGUGCCGUACUAAAUGCUGCCCCCUAUGACUUCAAAUCAUCAAGAAUUUUCACCAUUUUUGUAUUCUUUAUUCACAAUUCAACGUAACACAGGUGAGUAAUUGAUAUAGAAAUGGCUAUGUGAGGCAUGAAGUGUUUCUGAAAAAAGAAACAACUACAUGCAUCAUCACAAGCACUCACUGCUUUUAUAAUGAUGAGUCAUUUGUUCUUUAUAUGGAUAGAGAAAAUGACAAGAGCCAACAGAUUCUUAAUUUCUGUCGAUCUCCUUUCCUUUCUCUCGCUGUCCAGCUUUGUCUGUCUGGCUCCCUCUCAUUCUUCUCCCACAGCAGCUUCCCCCCGCUGCGUUGAUAACAACCUCCACAAAAUACCCUGUAGAAAACACAUCGUCCUUGAUCCGAGAUUGCAGCAUCCUCUAUGUUCAGGGGCAUUACUUCCUUUCCAGGAGACUUGGUUACAAAACAAGAGAGAGAUUACAGGGUGCUCUAUUGAUUCAUUGACAUAGCUUAGUCAGUCCAACCUUGGAUUUGUCUGAACUUAAAGGUGGAGCCUCGCACUCUGUGAAGACGCUCUGUGGGAAGACUGCACCUGUUGCUAAAAUGCCGACACAUGUUCACGGUAUUCUGUUUCCAAGAGAAAAAUACAAUCUCGCCUCCCUCAGUUGAAUUGUGGCUUUGACACGCGGCUGCUGGGUUGUUUGCACCUCAGCAAUAUUCAAAGUCAAGGGGAAUCAGAGAGAGGAGAUUUCAACAAUUCAUCAUGCAUUGCUGCACUUAUUUUGUGCAGAUCAACUGUGCUUUUGAGGAGAUCAAAUCAGCAAGGUAAACACUGAUGUCUAAAAGUUUACUUUACCCAGAAAUCAUUGCAUAUGGACUCAGAUUAUAAUCUCACCUACACCUUUCGAAGGAGGCGAACGGUAUAUGUGCUGCUGAUGGAGAUUAUACAAUGAUAUAUGUUGCGGUUCCAUUGCAAAUGCACUGUAAAUAAGCGAGCUGAGAUCACAUUUAAGUAAGCUGAUAAUCACUCCAUCAUUGCCAUGCUCACUAUCACAAAUGCACAGCUGGGCUCUACAGAAUCUUUAUUUUGAUUUAGCAGCAUUGCUUAGUUUAAUCUCUUUCGCAGCAUUCCCAUUCUCUCCAUUUUCUCUGCAUGCUGUGUUUUUAGUCGUUUGAUAUCAUUUUUGUUUGUUUUUCAUGAGGUGGGGUGGAUUAUAAGCACACAGCAGCAGUGCAGUGUGCCUUAGCUGCAGGCUGCACUUCUGAGUCAGGCCUGAGAGGUAGAAGCACCCCGCUACACUCCUCACUCUGUCAACAAUGCAGCCGAUCUCUGAACCACGACAUCUCUUUUUCCUCAGCUGUCUGCCCCCCUACAUGUUCUCUUUAAGUAUGCAGCACAACACUUUAGGUGUUUUCUUUGUGCCUGUAUUCAUAACGGGGAAGUUGACUGAGCAUGUAUUCUCUUUCAGCACCACCUGCACUCAUUUUCACUCAGUUACACCCCUGAGAGCUGCCCUGUAAAAUCAGUCUUCAACUGUUGCAGCAGCUCUGUGAGAAGAAAUGGGGAUUAUACGUUUCUCAAGGGCAUUUCAGGAGUGGCAUUACUCACUGUGCUCAUUGGGCUGUAUGGUUAGAGGCACUGUCCAUACUCUGCUUUUGAUAAAUGUUGAUCAAGAUGCCAUCUAACUUCAAUGCUCGGUCAAUGGCAUUCUCUCCGCAUUGCAACACCAGUGAGUUUAACUGUGAAACCAUGGCUUUCGUUAAGGACAUAGAUUUGGUGUCGUCAAUAGUAGCAAUUUUCUGUAAAUUUGGAGGAUUUAAUGACAUGAAAGAGUUUGGGUGUCAGGUUUUUUUAAGUUCCAGUGGAUCGUAUUCGGGAAAUAUUAACAUAAAUAGAAUAUAAUUCUCAGAACUGUGUUUUUAACUGUUUACAAUCACCUGAAAAUAAGAAUCAUUGUGUUUUUAUUACCUUAAAAUGAGCUAUUAAUAUCUACAUAUGGAGUGGGUCUUCCUCCAUGUAGUUGCCAUUAUAUUUUACAGACAAACCAACCCAGUCUUACUCCGAAGUCGUUGAAAUCCGACGCUUGGUCAGUGACUUCCUGUGGCAGACACAGACAAAAAAAACAAAAAAACAGCUGUCCUUUGACAUCGGCACGAUACGCAGCUGGUUGUUGUUAGUGUUUAACAGCACCCAGUGGUGUCAGGGGGAAACAUGGAAGGACAACAACAAAAGUUAAGGUGGCGGAAGUCAGAGUAGGAUGGGUGGGAGGGAAGGGUGGUGCAUGGGU
This is a long non-coding RNA of Epinephelus fuscoguttatus (brown-marbled grouper), 10357 nucleotides long. RefSeq lists it as uncharacterized. The transcript is spliced from 3 exons. The record is from RefSeq and is a predicted model, not a curated record. NCBI's taxonomy places the organism in Eukaryota, Metazoa, Chordata, Actinopteri, Perciformes, Serranidae.